ACUCCUACGGGAGGCAGCAGUAGGGAAUCUUCCACAAUAGGCGCAAGCCUGAUGGAGCAACACCGCGUGAGUGAAGAAGGGUUUCGGCUCGUAAAGCUCUGUUGUUAAAGAAGAACACGUAUGAGAGUAACUGUUCAUACGUUGACGGUAUUUAACCAGAAAGUCACGGCUAACUACGUGCCAGCAGCCGCGGUAAUACGUAGGUGGCAAGCGUUAUCCGGAUUUAUUGGGCGUAAAGAGAGUGCAGGCGGUUUUCUAAGUCUGAUGUUAAAGCCUUCGGCUUAACCGGAGAAGUGCAUCGGAAGCUGGAUAACUUGAGUGCAGAAGAGGGUAGUGGAACUCCAUGUGUAGCGGUGGAAUGCGUAGAUAUAUGGAAGAACACCAGUGGCGAAGGCGGCUACCUGGUCUGCAACUGACGCUGAGACUCGAAAGCAUGGGUAGCGAACAGGAUUAGAUACCCUGGUAGCUCGAUG
RNAcentral lists this ribosomal RNA (473 nucleotides) under uncultured bacterium. RNAcentral's name for it is "bacterial SSU rRNA". It matches the Rfam family "Bacterial small subunit ribosomal RNA", at positions 335 to 799 of the family's 1533-position model. The record is from RNAcentral.